GCGUUGUUAGCUCAGCCGGACAGAGCAAUUGCCUUCUAAGCAAUCGGUCACUGGUUCGAAUCC
This 63-nucleotide transfer RNA is filed under the name Escherichia coli. RNAcentral describes it as "tRNA-Arg". It matches the Rfam family "tRNA", at positions 1 to 60 of the family's 71-position model. Rfam says of the family: Transfer RNA (tRNA) molecules are approximately 80 nucleotides in length. Their secondary structure includes four short double-helical elements and three loops (D, anti-codon, and T loops). Further hydrogen bonds mediate the characteristic L-shaped molecular structure. tRNAs have two regions of fundamental functional importance: the anti-codon, which is responsible for specific mRNA codon recognition, and the 3' end, to which the tRNAs corresponding amino acid is attached (by aminoacyl-tRNA synthetases). tRNAs cope with the degeneracy of the genetic code in two manners: having more than one tRNA (with a specific anti-codon) for a particular amino acid; and 'wobble' base-pairing, i.e. permitting non-standard base-pairing at the 3rd anti-codon position. Lineage: Bacteria; Pseudomonadati; Pseudomonadota; Gammaproteobacteria; Enterobacterales; Enterobacteriaceae. The record is from RNAcentral.